AAUAAUGAAGUAAAAUUUACAUUUAGUUUCGACCUAAAAUUAAGGUAUCUUACCCUUAUUU
RNAcentral lists this transfer RNA (61 nucleotides) under Urochela caudata. RNAcentral's name for it is "tRNA-Arg". Lineage: Eukaryota; Metazoa; Arthropoda; Insecta; Hemiptera; Urostylididae. The record is from RNAcentral.